GACGAACGCUGGCGGCGUGCUUAACACAUGCAAGUCGAACGGAAAGGCCCUGCUUUUGUGGGGUGCUCGAGUGGCGAACGGGUGAGUAACACGUGAGUAACCUGCCCUUGACUUUGGGAUAACUUCAGGAAACUGGGGCUAAUACCGGAUAGGAGCUCCUGCUGCAUGGUGGGUGUUGGAAAGUUUCGGCGGUUGGGGAUGGACUCGCGGCUUAUCAGCUUGUUGGUGGGGUAGUGGCUUACCAAGGCUUUGACGGGUAGCCGGCCUGAGAGGGUGACCGGCCACAUUGGGACUGAGAUACGGCCCAGACUCCUACGGGAGGCAGCAGUGGGGAAUAUUGCACAAUGGGCGGAAGCCUGAUGCAGCAACGCCGCGUGCGGGAUGACGGCCUUCGGGUUGUAAACCGCUUUCGCCAGUGACGAAGCGUGAGUGACGGUAAUGGGUAAAGAAGCACCGGCUAACUACGUG
Molecule: ribosomal RNA, 468 nt
Filed under: uncultured bacterium
Lineage: Bacteria
Description: partial 16S ribosomal RNA
Rfam family: Bacterial small subunit ribosomal RNA
Source: RNAcentral